RNAcentral lists this ribosomal RNA (460 nucleotides) under uncultured bacterium. RNAcentral describes it as "partial 16S ribosomal RNA". It matches the Rfam family "Bacterial small subunit ribosomal RNA", at positions 338 to 795 of the family's 1533-position model. The record is from RNAcentral.
CCUACGGGUGGCAGCAGUGAGGAAUAUUGGUCAAUGGACGAGAGCCUGAACCAGCCAAGUAGCGUGAAGGAUGACUGCCCUAUGGGUUGUAAACUUCUUUUAUCUGGGAAUAAAAUGUUCCACGUGUGGGAUUUUGUAUGUACCAUAUGAAUAAGGAUCGGCUAACUCCGUGCCAGCAGCCGCGGUAAUACGGAGGAUCCGAGCGUUAUCCGGAUUUAUUGGGUUUAAAGGGAGCGUAGGUGGGUUGUUAAGUCAGUUGUGAAAGUGUGCGGCUCAACCGUAAAAUUGCAGUUGAAACUGGCAGUCUUGAGUACAGUAGAGGUAGGCGGAAUUCGUGGUGUAGCGGUGAAAUGCGUAGAUAUCACGAAGAACUCCGAUUGCGAAGGCAGCUCACUGGACUGCAACUGACACUGAGGCUCGAAAGUGUGGGUAUCAAACAGGAUUAGAUACCCCUGUAGUC